GAAUUUCCCCAACACCCCCCUCCCCAGUUUUGUGAACUAGUUACAUGCCAAUUUAGUGACUGUUCGGAAAUUUGAAUUUAAAAUUGAAACAUUAAUACACACUUUAAAAGCAUAUACAGUGUAUGAUAAAAUAUGUGUAUCUGAAAAAGUAUCAUAGAUUUGAAAAGUAUGAACAUAGACUAGCUUCCUUAUACAGCUGUUGUUUUUAUGACAAUGUCAGGGCGUUCAUUUCAGUGGUGUUGGCCAACCUAAUAAUUUCAAAUGAUUUGUAAGCAAAGUCUAAAUGAGCUCUCCCUGAUGAGCUAGUGAUUAGCUGGGGCUGCAGGGGAAGGCUUCAGGACCAGAUUGUAUUUACAUUCACACCUAAUCUUCCUAGGUAUCCAGCAAACAGAGCUGUGUUUCCCAAGUGAUAGAUUUUGGCUGGGGUUGGGUUACAAAUCACUUGGAUGGGGAGGGAAAUGAAAUGUUGUUCUAACUGUAUGAGUAAAGGUCAGUAGAACUGUACUUCGCCUGUGCUGAUUGAGGCCAUCAAGAGAGAGGGUGGGGACCUGUCCCUCUCCACUGUUUAAAGACAGAGCUCAUUAGGCUCCAUAGAUAGUCUUUUGUUCUGUUAAGUGACCAUUGCAGCUGAAAUCACUGAUGAUCAGGUCUAAGUGACAGGUUUCAGAGUAACAGCCGUGUUAGUCUGUAUUCGCAAAAAGAAAAGGAGGACUUGUGGCACCUUAGAGACUAACCAAUUUAUUUGAGCAUAAGCUUUCGUGAGCUACAGCUCACUUCAUCGGAUGCAAGUGCUUAGUCCUGCUGUGGGGACAGUGCUUCUGUGGAAGACACAGCCCAGACUGCACUAGCUGCAAGCUCAGCUGAAAUCACUGAGAGCUGGGUGGAACCUCAAGAGACCAACUCACAGUGGCAGGUGGCAGCAGAAGGUGACUGCGUAGAGCCAUUGGUAACAGAAUGGUGGAGUGAACGGUGGCACAACGAACAGCAGUGGCCAGAGUGAACAGUGAGCAGCUGGAGGAACGAGCAGGGUGCCUCCUUGCCCCCCACCUGGGAGGUGUACUCACGUGAAAGCACCUCUGAAUUCUGAUUCUCCACUGACCAAGGACAACAUGGGUCAAAGUGAAAAUGAAAAGACAAAAAAACAAUACAGCAAUUUUUUCACUCAAAGGCCUCAAAAACUAACCAAGGUAAAGAACACAUCAAGAACCAAGAAUACAUCAACAUGUCAUCUGAAGGUUCAAGUGGUAUAUCUACAUCCGACCAGCCCGAAGCACAAAUACAGCUACCUAUUGAAGAAACAGCGUCUCCAAAACCUAAAGGCAGUUCCCAAUGUUUGUCGGUCAAAGUGUUCCCAUUUAUUGAAGUUACAAAAGAUGGCUACUGGUGCACCUCUUGCAAAAAGUUUACGAAGAAGGAAAGCUUCCCAAUGGCAUUUUGGGGUGUAUAUGUAGGAGCAUUGCCAGCAGAUGGAGGGACGUGAUCGUUCCCCUCUAUUCGACAUUGGUGAGGUCUCAUCUGGAAUACUGUGUCCAGUUUUGGGCCCCACACGACAAGAAGGAUGUGGAAAAAUUGGAAAGAGUCCGGCGGAGGGCAACAAAAAUUAUUAGGGGACUGGAACACGUGACUUAUGAGGAGAGGCUGAGGGAACUGGGAUUGUUUAGUCUGCGAAAGAGAAAAAUGAGGGGGGAUUUGAUAGCUGCUUUCAACCACCUGAAAGGGGGUUCCAAAGAGGAUGGAUCUAGACUGUUCUCAGUGGUAGCUGAUGACAGAACAAGGAGCAGUGGUCUCAAGCUGCAGUGGGGGAGGUCUAGGUUGGGUACUAGGAAACACUAUUUCAUCUGGAGGGUGGUGAAGCACUGGAAUUGGUUACCUAGGGAGGUAGUGGAAUUUCCUUCCUUAGAGGUUUUUAAGGCCCGGCUUGACAAAGCCCUGGCUGGGAUGAUUUAGUUGGGGAUUGGUCCUGCUUUGAGCCUGGGGGUUGGAUGAGAUGACCUCCUGACAUCCCUUCCAACCCUGAUAUUCUAUGAUUCUAUGAUAAUUGGUAAAAGUGGAGGAGCUUGGUUUGUCAAACUGAUCAGCAAAGCCAAUGCUGACAAACUACGUGAAAAGACUGCAAAUCACCAGGACUCUGGACUGCAUCAACCUGCAGAAAGCCUCAUAAGCCAGUCACUCUCAAAGCCAAUCUUAGAAGUACUUAAUGAGGCUGUUAAGAAUGCUGGAGAGACAACACAGUUCAUGCGAACAAACGUGGCCGUGGCCUCCUACCUUCUAUUUAGGCAAGAGACACUGCACACCGCAGACUGGAGGCCAGUGUUAAGUGCACUGUGACUUGUUCAUCCGGAAGCUGAACUCUGGUUCCGAACAAGACCAGCAAAUGCUCACUGUCUUGCUGCAAGAAACUCAACUGACUGGCUAGACGCACGUGGUGCAACAGUGAAAGACUCAACAGCUGAAAAAGUGAAAGACUCUCUCACCACAUUCAAAAAAUUUGCAUACGUGGCUGAUGAAUGCACCGAUGCAAAUGGGCAUCAAGUAUUAAGUCACUGUGUACGUUAUUUUGAUGUCAGGGGUAGGCCAGUAGAUGCAUUUCUAGAUGUUCAAGUUAUAGAAGACACAUUGGCUGCAUCUGUGACAACCCACAUCUUAGAAGAGUUAAAUGCUUGUCAGUUGGACCCCAAACAGAUGGCUGCUUGUGCAUUUGAUGGAGGUGCAAACUUCUCUGGAAGACAUGGUGGAGUACAAGCUUUUCUCAGAGAAAAGUGUAACCCCAAUCUCUCCUAUACACACUGCAGAGGCCAUCUACUCCAACCAGCGCUAGUACGAGCUGCAGAAUCUUCAAAAAACAUUUAAAAAAGCUAUAAAUUUAAUGUCUUCAUUAUAUUCUUUUUUCAGCAAGAGUCCAAAAAGAUUGAAUAUCUUGGAAAAUAUAGAAGAUACACUGGACUGAAGUUCAAAUUAGUCCAACCUGGGAAAACCCGCUGGAUUUCUCAUGAGCGAUCCUUGGCUGUUGUCUUAAAAUUACUCUAGCCAUUAUUACUGGCUUUGGAAAGUAUCUACCAAGAUGGGAUGGAUCUAAGUAGUGAGGCUGGUGGAUUACUUUUGCUACUAUGUUCAGAGAAUAGUAUUGCCAUUCUCUCUCUUGUAAAUCUACUGUUGAAACCACUUUGGUCAUUAAACAAUGCCAUCCAGGCAUCUGCUACAACAGUAGUAGAUCUUUGUCCAGCAAUAGAAGCUACAUUUGGAUCAAUCAGAGAGCUAUGAUUUAAUUGGGGAUCAGUCCUGCUUUGAGCAGGGGGUUGGACUAGAAGACCUCCUGAGGUCCUUUCCAACCCUGAUAUUCUAUGAUUCUAUCUAUUGAAAAAGUACUGGAAGAAGCAAAGACUUCAGUCCAGAAAUUGACUAAUGAAGGCAUUUAUAUUGAAUCCUUAAGUGAAGAAGACAGAAGUGUUUAAGACAACUGAAAAAAUACAGACUUGAUUCUUAAAAAUCUACACCAGCGACUUCUAGGUUCUGCUCAACCUCUGCAUAGCUUUUACAGAUCCCUGUCCUAUAAAACACCGACAGUUGAGUGGAGUGAGGCACUACCAGCAAUGGGGCUGCCGUGUGCUCAGGACAGAAUAGAGAAUUUGAACACAGAGUGGAAUAUCAUAUGACGAAUGAAUGAAUAUUUGACUUCAACUUCUUUUUUAUCAUCACUAGUGGCUCGACCUGAUCUUUGUGCUCUGUUUCCUGGGAUGAAAGAAGUAGGAAUUCAUCUCUUGCUACUCCCAGUCACAACAGCUACAGCUGAGCGUUCUUUUUCAUCAUUGAAUAGAAUUUUGUGUUCUGAAAGAAGUCGCCUUCUGCCUGAUUAUGUGAAUGAACUAAUGAGCAUAUCAAUUGAAGGAGUGGAAGUACCGGACACACGAGAAGCCACCAAAGAUGAACGCAUGGCAUUCCAGAAGUUCAUUAACAGAGUUGUGCAAAAGUAUAACAAGAAACCAAGAAGGAUGGCGACGUAGUGCUUCACAGAAGGCUUGAGUAGCCAACUUUAAUUUGUGUGAUGAUUUUAAAACAUGAGUUAAAUCUAAUAAAAUGGUCAUGAAACGUU
Caretta caretta (loggerhead turtle) is the source of this 4090-nucleotide long non-coding RNA. RefSeq lists it as uncharacterized. Lineage: Eukaryota; Metazoa; Chordata; Testudines; Cheloniidae. The record is from RefSeq and is a predicted model, not a curated record.